CCUACGGGAGGCUGCAGUGAGGAAUAUUGGUCAAUGGACGAGAGUCUGAACCAGCCAAGUAGCGUGAAGGAUGACUGCCCUAUGGGUUGUAAACUUCUUUUAUAUGGGAAUAAAAUGUUCCACGUGUGGGAUUUUGUAUGUACCAUAUGAAUAAGGAUCGGCUAACUCCGUGCCAGCAGCCGCGGUAAUACGGAGGAUCCGAGCGUUAUCCGGAUUUAUUGGGUUUAAAGGGAGCGUAGGUGGAUUGUUAAGUCAGUUGUGAAAGUUUGCGGCUCAACCGGAAAAUUGCAGUUGAAACUGGCAGUCUUGAGUACAGUAGAGGUGGGCGGAAUUCGUGGUGUAGCGGUGAAAUGCUUAGAUAUCACGAAGAACUCCGAUUGCGAAGGCAGUUCACUGGACUGCAACUGACACUGAGGCUCGAAAGUGUGGGUAUCAAACAGGAUUAGAUACCCGUGUAGUC
RNAcentral lists this ribosomal RNA (460 nucleotides) under uncultured bacterium. Its description in RNAcentral is "partial 16S ribosomal RNA". It matches the Rfam family "Bacterial small subunit ribosomal RNA", at positions 338 to 795 of the family's 1533-position model. The record is from RNAcentral.